Molecule: ribosomal RNA, 939 nt
Filed under: Triticum aestivum (bread wheat)
Lineage: Eukaryota; Viridiplantae; Streptophyta; Magnoliopsida; Poales; Poaceae
Description: partial small subunit ribosomal RNA
Source: RNAcentral
AUGUGCCCGGUCCUCCGCCUCUCCGGGACCACGACGAACUACACCAUCAUCAAUGUAGCUCGGACGGAGAGGAAUGCCGUGCUCCACGUCGUCGAUCUCGGCGGAGCUGACGCCGCUCAGUGGCUUCUAGUCCUCCUCCUCUUUGCCAAGCGUCUGGGAGCGGGCGCACAUAACCAAAUCCUCCGUCUGACCAUUGUCAACGAGGAGGACGAGUUCCUAUCCGUCACACGUGGGCUCCUCGCCUGGGAAGCCGAGAGCCUGCACAUCGGCUUCCAGUUCCACCCGGUGAAACUCCACAUCAAUCAGCUGCUCAGCAUCGAGCCCCUCAAUUUCAUGAGCGACGAAGCACUAGUCAUCGUCUCCACCCUACAGCUCCACCGUCUGCUCGCCGACGAGUUUGUAGAAGUGGCUGCUCAUCCUCACGACAGGAAAGGAAAAGUACAGGCCCAUGCUACAAUGACGAGGGCCGACGCGCUCCUCCGCGACCUAGCGGAGCUAUCGCCGAAGCUCAUGUUGGUGACGGAGCAGGAGGCCGACCACAACGACGAGUUCAUGGGCCGGUUCGACAAUGCGCUCAACUACUACGGGGCCCUGUUUGAUGCCCUGGAGGAGAGCAUACCUGCACGCGGGUUGGCAAUCGAGCGGUCGGACAUGGAACGAUGCCUGCUCCUGCAAGAGAUCAGGGAUAUCGUUGCAUGUGAUGGCGCGCAGCACCGGGAGCGCCAUGAGCGGAUGGUGAAGUGGGCAGAGCGGAUGAAGGCCGCCGGAUUCGCGUCUGCGGCGAUGAGCGCAGACGCAGUGGCGCAAACGGUGAUGCUGGGGCAGAUGGUGACCGGCUGCAGGAGGGAGUACAGGGUUUCUAGUAAGAAGGAUCUGUGCUUCUUCAUCCACUGGUGCGACAUCCCGUUGUUCUCUGUCUCGACCUGGCGUGCGGUGUGA